CUUCUCUUAUAUAUUCCAUAAAAAAUAAAUAUUUUAGUUGUUAUUUUUUUCAAACUUAUUAUGAGUGCGUUUUAAAAUUAGUACCAGAAAUAGCAAUUGAAUUUAUGCAAAACGACUCUCAUUUGUUUGAUGUCCGUUCUUUAACGAUGGGAGCAGGGCAUGAUGGUUUGCUCAGGUAUAUGAGUUAUAUUGCUAAUGAAAAGGGAAAAGAAAAAGGAAACGGAAAAGAAAAUAAAAUGGAAAAUAAAAUGGAAAAUAAAAUGGAAAAUGAAAUGGAAAAUGAAAUGGAAAAUGAAAUGGAAAAUNNNNNNNNNNGAAAUGGAAAAUGAAAUGGAAAAUGAAAUGGAAAAUGAAAUGGAAAAAAAAGUAUAUUGUAGUACUAACACGAACACAUUAGGUUAUCUUAAUGUGUAUGACCAUAGCAAUGAUAUAACUAUGGGAACAACUACGGGAACAACUACGGGAACAACUACGGGAACAACUACAGGAACAACUACAGGAACAACUAUGGGAACAAGUAGUGUGCCAUAUGCCAAUCCCAACCCCAGUACGAAUUUUAAUUUAUACAUAGACAAGUGCAACGUGUAUGAUCAAUUAUUAAUGGCAAGUAAUAUUAUAGAAAAACUGUUUUAUAAUCAAGCAUUAAAUGAUAUGAACGGAUGUAUUUCUUUUUUAAACACAAAUUUAUUAAAAUAUUCUAACUUAUUAAUAUACUCCACCUUUUUAUCUAUGUUCAUAUAUAAAAAAUUAAUACAAAAAAAUGAAACGUUAAUUAUUAAAAAUGAUUUAAUAAGCACAAUUUAUAAUUUUUAUAAUGAACAGCUAUGUGCUCACUAUAUAUCUAUGUUUCAGAAUCCUUUAAAUUUAUUUUUAAAAAUGUCUAAACAAUUAUCUAUAAAGUUAGUAGAAUAUAAUCACUUAGACACUUUUUUACUUUUUUUGUUUAUCAAAUUUUAUAACUAUUUAUUAUUAAUACCUCCUAAAAUUAGACAUGACGAUGUUUUUCCUAUAAAUAUAGAAGAUGUACAUGCACUCCAACAAGUCUCGAUAAGUCAUUAUCUUGUGAAUGUAAAAAGGGAAAAUGAUAUUGAUGUAGCUGAUAUAACGGACGUAACGCCAUAUUAUAAUCCGAAUACGAAUACGAAUACGAAUACGAAUACGAAUACGAAUACGAAUACGAAUACGAAUACGAAUACGAAUACGAAUACGAAUACGAAUACGAAUACGAAUACGAAUACGAAUACGAAUACGAAUACGAAUACGAAUACGAAUACGAAUACGAAUACGAAUACGAAUACGAAUACGAAUACGAAUACGAAUACGAAUACGAAUACGAAUACGAAUACGAAUACGAAUACGAAUACGAAUACGAAUACGAAUACGAAUACGAAUACGAAUACGAAUACGAAUACGAAUACGAAUACGAAUACGAAUACGAAUACGA
Molecule: long non-coding RNA, 1444 nt
Filed under: Piliocolobus tephrosceles (Ugandan red Colobus)
Lineage: Eukaryota; Metazoa; Chordata; Mammalia; Primates; Cercopithecidae
Description: lncRNA (ENSPTEG00000010483.1)
Source: RNAcentral